This is a non-coding RNA of Limnoraphis robusta CS-951, 77 nucleotides long. NCBI's taxonomy places the organism in Bacteria, Bacillati, Cyanobacteriota, Cyanophyceae, Oscillatoriales, Sirenicapillariaceae. The record is from Rfam.
AGGAGCCGUGUGAAGCGAAAGUUUCACGCACGGUUUUGAAGACGAGUCAGAGGGGUGACUCUCUGGCUUAGUUUAAC